This 468-nucleotide ribosomal RNA is filed under the name uncultured bacterium. Its description in RNAcentral is "partial 16S ribosomal RNA". It matches the Rfam family "Bacterial small subunit ribosomal RNA", at positions 28 to 507 of the family's 1533-position model. The record is from RNAcentral.
GACGAACGCUGGCGGCGUGCUUAACACAUGCAAGUCGAACGGAAAGGCCCUGCUUUUGUGGGGUGCUCGAGUGGCGAACGGGUGAGUAACACGCGAGUAACCUGCCCUUGACUUUGGGAUAACUUCAGGAAACUGGGGCUAAUACCGGAUAGGAGCUCCUGCAGCAUGGUGGGGGUUGGAAAGUUUCGGCGGUUGGGGAUGGACUCGCGGCUUAUCAGCUUGUUGGUGGGGUAGUGGCUUACCAAGGCUUUGACGGGUAGCCGGCCUGAGAGGGUGACCGGCCACAUUGGGACUGAGAUAGGGCCCAGACGCCAACGGGAGGCAACAGUGGGGAAUAUGGCACAGUGGGCGGAAGCGUGAUGCGGCGACGCCGCGUGCGGGAUGACGGCCUUCGGGUUGUAAACCGCUUUCGCCUGUGACGAAGCGUGAGUGACGGUAAUGGGUAAAGAAGCACCGGCUAACUACGUG